RNAcentral lists this long non-coding RNA (6306 nucleotides) under Sus scrofa (pig). RNAcentral's name for it is "lncRNA (ENSSSCG00060038812.1)". Lineage: Eukaryota; Metazoa; Chordata; Mammalia; Artiodactyla; Suidae. The record is from RNAcentral.
UUUUUUUUUUUUUUUUUGCUCCUCAAGUACAGGAGCAAUUCUGACAUCUUAAAUUGGGAGAUCAUCUAAAAUAAAAUAUUGUAUGAAAAAAGCUACACAAAAGUAUGAUGAAUGGUGGUCUGAACUAAGAAUAUAUUUUUUUUAAGCAAAGGUUAUAUUGAAGACUUUUACAUCAUACAGUCAACCUGCUCAUUGUAAACAGGAGAUUUUGGAUUUGAACAAUCUGGUUCAUGUCCUAAGGUGAUCAAUAACACCAGAAAAAUCAUUGCAUUCUCCAUGGUGUUGAUAAUCACACAUAGCCAUGUCCUCGUUAGUCACUUAAUUAUUUUGAUGCCACAAUGACUCUAGUGUUUGAGUUUAAGAAUACCUGUUUUUUUGCAAAGAAAUUUUCAAAAUUUCAAAUGUAUACUUUCCAAUUAGUACUGUACUUUGAGUCGCUCUACAAAGUGUGUUAAACCUGCCUCAAGUUUUCAAUCUUACAGCAUCUCUGUGACAUCUCCUGCAGUUGAACUAGCACUCAGAGGCCACAGGAGAUCAGUGAUUAAAGUCUCUGUAUUUGGAUGUGCCAGGAUUUCCUCUGCAUGAAGCCCUGGACCCAGGCCUUCCAAAAUAAUUGUAGUUUCCCAUCUUCCCUCAGCAUCUACUCUAGGAAAGAAAAUUGAUUGGAUUACAGUGAAAACCAAAGAGACAGUAGAGAAGCAAUCAGCUCCUACCUUUUUUCUUCCACUUUAACUCUGGUCUUACCCUUGAACUUGAUAUGUGAUUUAGAUCUCCUCAACUUACCCUAGUACUCUUUAAAGACUCUGGCCAGAUUUGUCAUUUAAUGCUCUCAAUCCUCAUUGACUUAGGUUUGAGAGAUUGUCUUCAAUCUUGCUUGGGGACAAAAAAGUGACCUGGUCCUCCCAAGAGCAAUACUUAAAUGGAAGAUAAUUGAUAAGAAAGAAACAAGAAGAGUUACGAGAAAUUGCUGAGAAUGGAGUUGAAGAGUCUUUGCUCUGAUGUCGUCGGAGGUCAUCUCUGAGGAAGUGUAUUCGUCAGGCUGGUUAUGUGAAUGGGCUUUAAUAGGCACUUAGUGGACAAAGGUCAGAUGAAGUAAUGGCUUAUUUUGCAAUAUUUGUCUGAAUCUCACUUCUCUGAUACUUCAGCCUGUCUUCGUCAAGAGUUUUCUCUGCCACAAGUCACUUUGUGUACUUAAGUGACUUUAGAGUAUUUUUGAUCAUGGCCACAUUAUACCUUUGGAGUGAAGUGUCAGGUAUGUAUGUUUGUUUAUUUUUUAUCUAUAUACAACCUAUCAACCUAUUUUCACCUUGUGUAGUUUUUUGGUUUUGUUUGUUUAUUUUGCUUUUUAGGGUCGCGCCUGUGGCAUAUGGAAGUUCCCAGGUGAGGGGUCGAAUAGGAGCUACAGCUGUCAGCCUAUACCACAGCCACAGUAACACCAGGUCCUAGAUAUGUCUAUGACAUGCACCACAGCUCACGGCAAUGCUGGAUCCUUAACCCACUGAGAAAGGCCAGGGAUCAAACCUGCAACCUCAUGGUUCCUAGUCAGGUUUGUUUCCGCUGUGCCACAAUGGGAACUCCACACCUUGAAUAGUUUAACCCUAUACAGAGCUGGGGUUUGAUUCUUGGGAGGCAGACUGGAUUAUAAACCUUACUGAAGUCAGCCAGGAAUAAAAUGAGACAAUGAAAGAAAGGAAUACAAUUUGUCAAUGGAACAAAGGGUCAAUUGGAGGCAGUGUCUUUAGACUGUGUUAUAAAAAUCAAUGACAGGUGUCCGGUCCAAAAAAAACAUUCUUUUGGUUAUCUACUACCACAAAACAACUUACACAAGACUUGGUGGCUUAAAAUAACAAUAAUCACUGUUUUCUUCAUGAAUCCACAUUUGUGUGGGACUCAUGUGGUGGUAAUAGGAACUGGAGGAUCCACUUCAAAGAUAGCAGGUGCACAUGAUGGACAAGUUAGUGCUAGUGUUAUAGGUCAAAUUGCCCCCCUCCCCAACUUCAUAUUUUGAAAUUCUCAACCUCAGUACCUCAGAAGCUGACCUUUUUUGGAAAUAGCACCUUUAUAGAGGUAAUCAAGUUAAAACAAGGUCAUAAGGGCAGACUCUAAUCCAGUAUGAGUAAUAUCCUUAUAAGAUGGGGAAAUUUGGAAAGAGAAAAGGUCCAUGAGGACACAGGGAGAAAAUGGCCAUCUACAAAACAAGAAGAGAAGCCUGGAAUGCUUCCUCUAUAGCCCUAAGAAUGAAUUGACCCUUAUUCCUUAUUGGUCUCAAGGUUGGUACAACACCUUGAUCUCAGACAUUUGGUCUCCAGAACUGUUGGACAAUAAAUUUCUGUUGCUUAAGCCAACCAGCAGCCCUAAGAUAUUAAUAUAGCUAGUUAUUAGGUUCUCAGAAAGUAUGCUUCUCCCUGAGAGCUCUUGAGCUUCCUCAUAGCAUGGUGGCUGCUUUCCAAGAAUGAGAAUUCCAAGAGAAAUGAAGUAGAGAUUACCAGUUUCUUCAGUUUGGGCCCAGAAACUGGCGUGAUGUCAUUUCCUCUGUAAUCUACUUCUCAGAAAUCAAGAGGGCUGAUUCAGUGGAAGGGAACAGAUGCCUCUAUUCUUGUAGGAACAAACAUCCAACAUGCUUGUUGAGGUCAUGUGUGAUAAUCGUCUCAAGCACUGCGAUUGUCAAAGAAAGUCAAGAAUGGAACAUCUCAAAUAUAUCUUGUAAAAGAUAACUGAUAAUCAUCAAUUACUUACCAGGUCUUACACAUCUUAGUAAAUGUUCAUGUGCUUUAUUACUUUCUACACUCUUCAUUAAUCUUAUAAUAUAGAUGUUGCUGUUAUUGUUCCAAGUUCAGAAUCACAAGAGCUAAGCAACCUGCCCAGUGUCACAUGGUUAAUUAUAGUCAGAAUUGAUAUUUGAAACCAAAAUUCUUCAGAGCCUACACUUUUAGCUACUGCAGUACUGUUAUAUGUAUCUUUCAGGAUGACUAGACUAGAAGUUUCUAUUCUGGAGAUAGCUCUGAUGUGAAGCCUGCAAACAUGCACAUGCAAUUUCCAAGAUUCUCUUCCAGAACAUGUUCCCAUAUCCUCUCAUUUAAAAAGAAAAUACAACUCAGUUCUCCUUUCAUUUUACCAUAAAGAAUAAGAAUGAAAUCUAGCAAGUUCUAUAAACAUCCAUAGAUUUAGGAGGACAGAUAUAGGCCAGAUGAAAAGUUUGUUACUCCAAGAAUAAACCCAAGUUCAUUGAUCUUAUAGGCACUGGUAGGAGAAUAAAUCAAUUUUAUUCUGUAUCCCAUCAUUCUUUACAGUUUUGUAACAAGGUGUACUUUGUUGGAUUUUAAUCUGCCUACAUUUGAGACAGCAAAGCUCUCCACAAUCAUCUUUUAAUGGUAUCGCAAUUUAUAGACAGUAACUAAUUUCAAACUUCAUAGCACUUGGCUUUUAUGAUUAUUUCAAAUCAUUUAAAUGCAAAUGAAUUUUCAGAGAGAGAAAACAUCAAAUGCCCUUGAGUGGCAACAUGUAAUAGAACCGUGCACAGCAGCCACUAUAGGAAUCUGAAGCAGUCGGAUAGGGUUGGAUGGUAAGGCUGUAUAAAAGUGUUUGCCUAAAUCCAAUUUACAUUUCAUUCUACAUUAUAUUCUAUUUACCUAUUUUGUCAUUUCAGUAUGACUUCCUUAAUCCUCCUCUGAAAUUCCAUCUACUCAUUGCAAACCUAAAUCUGAGUUAGGAAAAUGAGGAAUAGCAACACAACAUUCCAAAAUAAUAAUUGAAAACUCCUAAAUUCCUCUUGCUUCCCUAAACCUCUUUGCAGUUAAUGAUGUUACUGCAUGAAGCAGCCCCAAACAUCUAUGCAUGCAUUAAUCUAUUGUUUUUCUUUCAAACUGGGUGUAUGUCUGCUGCCUGAUCAAGUCAUAUUUCCUGUACAGAACUGUUAAGCAACAACAUACAUAUGGCGUUGGACAUGGAAGGCUGGCCCCUAUAUGAAUCCAUCCUAGUUUGAUAGUUUGCAAAAGCGGUGGAAUUAUCACAUCACUGCAGAGUCCAUUUAGAGAAGAGUUGUGGACAGUGAUGAGCUCUUCAUGGAGGAGGAAAGACGACACUUCAUCACCUUACCCUACCUAGUGCACAGAGUGAAACUAAAUUGGGCAUUGGCAUUGGGGGUAUAAGGACAGGUGGUGCAUUAUCCCUGGUCCCUGUGGGUUCACAAUAUAACAGAAGAAAAACAUGUCACUCAAUGGCUGUAUCUUAUGCAGGACCGCAGGACCCUCUCCAAGUCUUAAAGAAUGUGGAGGCAAAGAAGUUGGAUCAUGUGGCAUAUAUUACAGAGAAUAGCUUGAUUAUGUCCUUGUUUUCAUUCCCAGUGUUGGAGGACUUCCCUUCAUGAUGCCCAUCACUUCUAAUUUUUAAUUAUUUUUAAUUAGUGGUCCUCUCUCUCCAGUAUAAGUGCUGUUGAGACAAGGACGGCAUCUUCUUGCUCAGUGCUGUAUCACGCAGCUUAGCACAGGGCUCUGCAGGUAAGGGUAAGUAAUCCAUAAAUGUUUAUUAAAUGUAAGCACAAAAGUCAAGAUUUCUUCCCAAAAAUUUAAGUCACGAUCAUCACAGUAGGCUUCCACGCCAAUCAUGUGAUCUCCUGUCCAUCAUUUUCCUGCCUGUACAGGUUCCCUCUUUUCCACGUCUACCUCUUCUGGUCCAUCAUCUAGACCACUGCUCUCACUCUUCUCUGUAUGGUUCUUCAAAGGCUAUUUCAGUGAAUUGCUUUUAUUCAAAGAAUUAGCCUGAUAUUGCAACCUCUAAUGCUCUUUAUAGCUCUGAAUUUGUACCACAGGAGUUAUUUUCAUGCCUUUCUGCAUAAAAUGAGUGUGUUAUGUUUGGCUUCAUGAAGUUCAUGUGUGUGUGUAUGUGUGUGUGUGUUCAGCAUGAAACUCCUCAAAAUAAAGGUUAUUAAAUCUUUCAUGUUUUGUUCUCCACUUUGAAGAAUAUGGUAUCAACCUCAAUAAAUGGAACACACAGCCUGAUAGGCUUUUAUGAUCACCUCAACACUAGAUCUUGCUCUCCAUUUUCCAGAAGAGCUAAAUGACCAUCAGAGCAUAAAGUGCCCAGCCCAGCAUCAAAUAGCAUGUGGAAAAGCGGGACCCAGUUUUCACUCGCUUCAGUUUCUAACUGUCAUCAUUCUUAGAUGCACAAUGAUGGAUCAUAUGAAAGAUGAGAAUCUGAACCACUCAAUAUCCACUGUUCUUCAAUACCAGUUACCUCCCUGACCUGGGCCAUCAUCAUCUCACCUCCAAAAUGAAAAGUCUGAAUUAGGGAACUUUCUAUAUGCCCUCACAACCCAGAAGCUCCAUUUUCCAUUUUCUGAGUCUAUGGUUUCCAUUGCCAAAGAAAAAUAAUAAAAGAUUCUGAAUUACAAAAUUGAGCAUUAUGAAACAUGAUGUAAUAAACUAACCCUUUUAUUACCACAUAAUUACAUUUUUACAGUAACAUGUGCAAAAAAAAAAAAAAGAACUAGGUAGGGAAUACAGUAUGUAGCUAUCACUUGAAAUCACUAAAGAGCUUUGGAUUCAAUUAGACAGACUGACAAAUGAGACAAAAAUUACAGGGAAAAAGUUGAGUUAUCUAUUCAAGGAACACAGGGCCCAUGGGCAGAUUUAUUGAGUGUGUGGUGUCUCUUAGAACAAAUUCCACCAACUAUUUUGACAAAAACUUCAAAAGAGCUACCAGAAUAAUUUUUGGAAAAGAUAUUCAAAGAAGAUUAGUUGGAUUUUGAAAGUGUUUCAUUUGGGACCAUGGAUCAUGAAGGGUGAUAUAGAACAAUAGUUAAGGGCAUAGACAUUGAAGUCGUUGAGAUCUGAGUUAAAUUUGGACUCUGUAACUUUCAUUUGCAGCCUGGAUCAAGUUAUUUAAUAUCCACAAGCCUCAAUACACACAUCUUUAGGCAAAGAUAAAUAAAAAUAUUUCCCUCAAGUACUUUGUGUUUGGUUUCAGAGAUAUGAUUUGCACAGUUCCCAGGGCAUAGCAAGUGCUCAGUAAAGUUGAUAUAACAGGAGAUCAAUAAUUAUUAAAUUGAAUUCACACAGUUUUAGAAAGGUAUAUUGCUGAGACAAUUGCCUCAAAUCCUUUCUGGAAGUCAGAGAUUGUAAAUAAGCCACAAAGAAUGGAGAUGGAAUGAAAUGAGAAAAGAAAGUUGAAUAAUAAUAGUCAUUAAUAUUUGCAAAGUGUUUCAAAAACUCUCUUCUGUGCUUAGCUCACUGGAGAGUCUCAUCAAUCCUGGAAGUGGGCAGAAGAGGGAUCGCUAUUUUUACUGAGAGAUGAGGAAAUUAGGUGGCA